UUAAAGAGAAGCCUGGGCCGGCCCACCAGAUAAUGAGAGACUAGCAGGCCAGCUGUCCCUGUUGAGCCAGCUUGCCAGCAGCCAGACAUGUAAGUGAGGCCAUCCGAGGUCAUCCAGGCAUUGACAAACUCACCAGUCGAUUGCAGAGAUGAGCUGUGCUGGUCCAGGCCAGAAGAACUGUCCAGCAGACCCAGAGAGUCAUGAGCCACAGAAGUGGUUAUUGUUUAGGUCAUUAAGAUUUGGAUUGUUUGUGGGAGGGUGUCCUGCAGUUGUCCUGUUCUUGCCUCACUAAAGAAUGUUAAGAAUGGAUGGACGGGGGCCAGAACUUGUUUUUAGGUCAUCGUUCUCUGGAUCAGGAAGAGCCACAGCUCCAAAUCCUCAGUCACAUCUAGACCUGAUUUGGAUCCUGGGACUUCAAGCUUGAUGCCUUAAUUAGAUGGGACUUCUGGGCAUCCUGGGAUGGGGUGAGCAUAUUUUCAUGUCAUGUCAGGUAAGUGUAAUUUGUGGUCAGAGGGGAAGACCGUUGUAGACCACCGAACUGGCUACAAGUGCUUCCUGUCAUCAUAUUCAUGCCUCUCUGCUACGCGACAUUGUAGCUCCUCUCACUGAGAGGUAGAGCCAUUUCUCCACCCACUGAAUCUGGGGGUGGUCAUGUGAUUUAGCUUGGCCAAUGGGACAUUUGGGAAUGGAACACAAAUAGGGACUUACAGUGCUUGCUUGUGGGGGCUGGCCCCGCCUCACUGCUCUUGGAACCCAGUUACUCUCUGAAGAAGCCUGGGCUAGCCUGCUGGAGGAGGAUAUGCCACGCGGAGCAGAGCUGCACCGUCCCUCCGAGGCCUCUGUGGAGCAGCCGUCCCCGGGCCAACCUGGUAGCUACUGCAGAUGUCUGACUUUAACAAGAAGUCAGCAGGCUGCAACCCGGGAAAGGGUUCUCACCAGAAACCCAACCACGCUGGCACCCCGAUCUUAGGUCAUUAAAUUUUGGAUUGUUUGAACAUGCACUGGUUCCUAGAAUAGAGUCCAAUACUCACCUCAGACUGGUUCCAGCAGGCAGCCUGGCAUCCAAAAUGUGAGGCCGUGCACGUGAGGCAGAACUCCAGGAGGGCAAAGGGGAGGAGACCACCAGAAAUCGC
Long non-coding RNA from Manis javanica (Malayan pangolin), 1133 nucleotides. RefSeq lists it as uncharacterized. The record is from RefSeq and is a predicted model, not a curated record. NCBI's taxonomy places the organism in Eukaryota, Metazoa, Chordata, Mammalia, Pholidota, Manidae.